GGCCUGAGUGAAGGGUGGGGGGGGGAGUGGAAGAUUAACCAGGGCAACCUGAGAUCCUGGUGGGAAUCCCUCUGUCCUCCUGCUCAUCGCUCAUGGAAGCUUCCACGCUGACUCGAAAGCAGGAGGGGGAAGGAGCAUUUGGCAAACAAUGGCUGUGUCUUCAGCCCACUGUUUCAUAUCUGAAAUCUCCUAAUUAUCUCUGUGCCCUGAUACCGCGUCUUUAAAUGCUACUCCAUUCAAGCAGGUGCAUGGCCUCUGCAGGAGUAGAUGGUUCCAGAGUUGGACACCAGAGAGAGGACUUCCCUGGGGUAUCCUAGCAAGUGCUGGCAGGUGCUAUAGGCUGGUUUACGGAGAAGAAGGGAGACAAGGAACCGUGAGCUGCCAAGAUGAAAAUGACAGCUGUUAGAAAACCGAAAUCCCACUGAGUAAAAUUGAAGAUCUAAUUGGCUUUAUUCAAUGAUUCAUGAAUCAGGCAGCAUCCUCUGUUGUAAAUAGAAAGAAACCGAUGGGUUGUUAAAAUAAAUAAAUAAAUAAAUAAUAAAAGGAAGGUUUUUAUAGGCAGAAGGAGUGUGGGGCAAGGGAGCUAUUAACAAAAGCUAAGAAAAGACUGUUUCAUGCCCAGUCACCUUCUUUUGGGAGCAGGGCAAGGGUCACUCAUGUGGACUGCUUCCUCCUCCCCGAUGGAGAGGGCCCAGGAGACAGAUUACCUCCUGGGUACUGACCAGAAAAUUCCACACUGGCUGAUUAAGACCACAUUCCUGGGGAAGGUCAAAAUUACAGGUAGGUCAGGUAUUACAUCUAGGUUUGGUAUCAUGGGCUUUGGCAAAAGUGAUGCCAUUUCGAGCCUGUAGUUUUCUUUUAACUAUUCACCACUUUUGAGCUAAAUCUCAGCCUAACCAAGAGAUGGCAUCAGAAUUUAAGACAUUAUCAUCACCCUCGUCUUCUGACCUAUAGUCCCCACAGCUUCGUUGACCGUUGGUGUGGUAUCCAGAGGUCGUGACGUUUUUGCUUAAUUCUCACGACAUUUGUAACUGAAGAGGACCCUAUGGGGGCUUCUGGGAACAGCUGCAACCACCCCAUGUCUGUAGCAAAACUUUAGCCUCCUAGGCCUUCCCCAAGUUCCAAGGAAUAAAUUUAAUCAGAGAAAUGAGAAAAGGCAGAAGCAAAGGAAAACAGUCAAGCAAGACAAAAUAAAAAUAGUUUAGCCACUAAACACAGUCAAGGACCUUUAAUUCCUCCUCAAGGGCUAGAGAUAAUAUUCUGAGCCACAUCCUUUGAGCUGUUUUACAGCUAUUGAAACCUGCACGAGGUGGAAGAAGUUCACUGCCUGCUGUCCACAAGCACGUAGACGCCAGACUGGUUGGAACCACAAGGUUGAUGGUGUUGACUCCCGAUUACCUCGCCACCAGCCAAUCAGAAGAUGUCAAUGCCAGAGGAAAGGAGAGGAAAAGAAGGAGAAAGGGUUUCAUGUUUAGUUAAAGUAUGAAGUCUUGAUCGAUCAUCUCAGGCAGAAGCUGUCUUCCUGAAUGUCAGCGACUUCUCUUCCUCACCAGUUUGAUUCGGAGGUCUCCAGCCCUUGUACAGGACCAGGCGUUAGUGUCGAUCUCAGCCGACGUAGUGAUGCUGUUUGGGAACACCUGUGGGCACCCAUGUGGGCCUUUACCUUUCAUGGAAGCCCCACAGGCCUUUCCCCAGCUGGAGCCAAUGCUGUGGCUGCACACGCCCUUCUGCUUCUUUUUUUUUUUUUUUUUUUUUUGGUACGCGGGCCUCUCCCU
Delphinapterus leucas (beluga whale) is the source of this 1775-nucleotide non-coding RNA. The record is from RefSeq and is a predicted model, not a curated record. Lineage: Eukaryota; Metazoa; Chordata; Mammalia; Artiodactyla; Monodontidae.